AUGGAAUCACAAGGCUCCUGGCAAACGCCAGGAGGAUUCCAGGCACGCGGUGACAAGGCCACCCUAGGAGCCAGGACCCGGUCUGAUAGCUGUUCCUUCUCCUUGCAAGCGCCCAGACCCCCAGUGAUGCGAGCUGGAGGGACGGCGCCCGUGGGGGGUGACCCAGGCCAGGCUCGCUGCUUUCACAGGCACCUCUUCCGCUUCCCUUCCCCCCCCCAGCCCUCCCACCCCGUCCCUGGGCCGCGGGCUCACCAGCUGGAGUUGCUUUAUAGAAAGGUGUCUGGGAGUGGACGCAUCGCGACCGCCGGGGCAGCGAGGAGGCGCAGAUGCGUGAACGGCGGGAUUUCUGGCGCCCCCAGCAGCUGGCUGUCAGGAUUACUCCUUGGCAACAUGAAGAUGGAUGAAGUUUAUCUCAGAGCCCUUCCCCCCUUACUUUCCACGCCCUCCUCUCUCCUUUUUUUAGUAUCUUUUGUCCUCUUCUAUCAUCUGUCAGCUGUCAUGGAAAACAUGUCAGUGUAUCUAGUUUAUACUAAAGUGAAAAUGACUGAUGGGACGAUCUGUCAUUCUUUACAUUUCUGUAAUGGGUGAGACCUAACCCAAGGGGGAUGCAGUUUAGUGGUCCAGCUGUGGGCGGUUCUGUGUCCCUCUCUUCAGUCUCGCUCCUGCCACUCACAUAUUUGCUCCUCCCCGUCUCCUGCUUGUGUAUUUUUGGUUCCACGGUACAGCACGGCUCAGGUGACGCCAGCCACUGGCGCAGGGUGAGACCACAAGCCCCAGCCUGUACACCCCAAAGACAGGAAGGGCAAGGGCUGGGACGCUCACCACCUUAAAGGCAGCCCGUUCCCUCUGAGUGGCACGGGAGCCAGAGGCAAACGGGCUCCCUUCGCCCCCUUCCACACGCAAGCCCUCCCGCAGGGUGGAGACCUCUGGGCCGCUGCUUCCCGACUACGAUCAGAGCGCACCUGCUUGUUCUCGCCGGCUGUGCCCUCUGCCUUUGAGGCCACUUCCAGUCUGAGGCCAGCCCUGCUCUGCGGUCCUCCCUAGGGCAGACGUGAUGGACUCAGGCUGAGCUCUGCGAAGUGGUGAUUCACGUCCCGCUCAGCCCCCACACAGCCCUCGGAGGAAGGCGUGGGGAGAGUCCUGUCUGCCUGCAGACGCUGGCCGCUGAUGCCUGCUGGGCGCUCAGCACCUGCCGAGCACGGCCAGACUGAUGAACGCAAUCCUCGCGGCAGGGUCAGGAUAGAGACAGCAUCGUUCUCCCCGCUCUCAGAUGAGAAGACGGAAGCCGGGGAGUCUGCGACGGUCCAGGCUUUGAAAGCAGGUGGUCUGACUCUGUGCACUGCCCGCCAAGAUCUGCUAAGUUUCUGACACUGGCCGGUGGCAUGCGGCGCACAUGUGUGUACACACGUGUGUGGACAGCCCACUGCGACGGAUCCAUGAUGCUCCCCCAAGACUGGCUGUGAAGACCCAAUGCCAAUGACAAGGCCCAUGCCCAUGUCCAUGCCAGACACUCGGAGCCCGUUUUCCCACCAGUAGCACGGGCUGACUCCUGCCCGCUGUGCAUGCUGGCUGGGGGCCAAAGGGGACAGCCACCUGGACCCAGUGAUGGCCAACUGGGCGGAAGGACUGGCUAUUUCCAUGAACAAAGGAUUGGUGGUGGCCGGCUGCAGCGUGGACGGAAAAGUUGGCCCUGAGCAGGGCCGUUUCGGUCCUUCUCUUUGGAGAUGGACAGAACCAAAAGCAAACAGAAAGUGAGCCACUGUCUGUCUGGGUGGCCUGCCCCUGUGGUCCCUGCGCCGUCUAGCCGAGGUAUGCGGCCAGGUGACAGAGCGCUGGGCAAUGCCGGUGCACCAGGGGCCUGUUCCAGCCACAGCCAGAACAGGGGGCUCUCUCCUGGGAACUCAGGAGCCCAGGGUGGGAGUGCUGGAGGCUCCCCCCCCCAACCCGGCCCCAGGCUACUACACUGCUGUCCCCCUCCCUGACAUGUCACUGACCUCCCCAGGGCUGCCCCUCCAGCCAUUGGCCAUUGGGUGGGACAGGAUUUCUCUUCACUUACAGCCAAAGUUUGGGGCAGCAGUGAAGAGGUGGCCUGGGAUGCUCGUGGUCCACGUCUCAGUGCCUGGAUUUGAGCCUCCCCUCGGCUUCUGACCCAGCUUCCUGUUCCUGGGCACGCGGGGAGGCGGCCGGCGAAGGCUCGGGUACCUGGGCUCCUGCACCCACGUGGGAGCCCUGCAUGGAGUUCCUGGCUCCUGGCUCCAGCCUGGCCCAGCCUUAGCUCGCUCUCUCUCUCUCUCUCUCUCUCUCUCUCCCCCUUUCAAAUAAAUAAAUAAAAAGUGGAAAAGAAAGUAAUAAG
Oryctolagus cuniculus (rabbit) is the source of this 2353-nucleotide long non-coding RNA. The record is from Ensembl. Lineage: Eukaryota; Metazoa; Chordata; Mammalia; Lagomorpha; Leporidae.